Molecule: ribosomal RNA, 499 nt
Filed under: uncultured bacterium
Lineage: Bacteria
Description: partial 16S ribosomal RNA
Rfam family: Bacterial small subunit ribosomal RNA
Source: RNAcentral
GACGAACGCUGGCGGCGUGCCUAAUACAUGCAAGUCGAGCGAAGUUUUUCUGGUGCUUGCACCGGAAAAACUUAGCGGCGAACGGGUGAGUAACACGUAAAGAACCUGCCUCAUAGACUGGGACAACUAUUGGAAACGAUAGCUAAUACCGGAUAACAGCAUUAACUGCAUGGUUGAUGUUUAAAAGAUGGUUUUGCUAACACUAUGAGAUGGCUUUGCGGUGCAUUAGCUAGUUGGUGGGGUAAAGGCCUACCAAGGCGACGAUGCAUAGCCGACCUGAGAGGGUGAUCGGCCACACUGGGACUGAGACACGGCCCAGACUCCUACGGGAGGCAGCAGUAGGGAAUCUUCCGCAAUGGGCGAAAGCCUGACGGAGCAACGCCGCGUGAGUGAAGAAGGAUUUCGGUUCGUAAAGCUCUGUUGUUAGGGAAGAAUGAUUGUGUAGUAACUAUACACAGUAGAGACGGUACCUAACCAGAAAGCCACGGCUAACUACGUG